This 3484-nucleotide long non-coding RNA is filed under the name Salmo salar (Atlantic salmon). RNAcentral describes it as "lncRNA (ENSSSAG00000107876.1)". The record is from RNAcentral. Lineage: Eukaryota; Metazoa; Chordata; Actinopteri; Salmoniformes; Salmonidae.
GAGGAUGUUUACCUUGGUCACAGGAAAUGGGCCAUUACCAUUGUGACGUCGGCGCCCAUGGGUACUCUCCCUUUUCAAAACGUUUUGAAAGACAAUGCAACCAUCCCAAUGGAAUAUUAUUGAAGCCCUGGUUGAAAAAGCCCCUAAAGAUUUAUGUUAUACAACGUUUGACAUGUUUGAACGAACUUAAAUAUAUAUUUUUUGCUCAUUCCUGACGACAAGUCAGACGCACACGGUACAUUUUCACUAGCCUUCGGAGCGCGCUAACGCUAUUGGGACAUAAAUUAUUAACUUUUUUGAACAAAACUACAUUUGUUAUGGACCUGGGAUUCCUAGAAGUGCCUUCUGAUAAAGAUAAUCAAAGAUCCACAAGCCUGGACAACGGGUACGGAACGGAGCUCCUCAACCAGGACAUCCCCUGACCAUUCUUGCGGUGGUCUGCAGCUUGCAGAAAUCCUACCAGGGUAAACCAGCAGAAGGGGACUGCUGCUUUGAUCCACAAACCAGGACAACUUGUGGUCAUUUUUAUGGUGGGUUGCAACUUGCAGAAGGUUGAACCCAUCAGAGGAGGACUGUCAUGACUACAUGUGAGGAUCCAGUGGCUCAGAUCAGCUUGGCAGUGGUUGACAAAUAAUCAGGCCCUCCCUCACCCAUAGAAUGGGGGGGGGGCCUGGGCCAAUGUGUGUAAAGCGAGUUUGGAACUUUGACCAUCUACCCGAGGAAGAAAGGAUAAAAAUCCUCUCAGACAACCACAAGUACAGCUAAGUAGCUGCUCGGAGGUAGCUGCUCUGAGGAAACCGGACAACUAAGGACAUUGUGACCUCUGGUGGACAAUCAGAGCGUGUACAAGUGGCCCACAGGAAAGGCCAACAAAAACCCUUUCCAGAAGGUUUGGUUUCAACAGAGAUAGAUGACGAAUGGCAUUCAAACACGCAUCGUAAGGAUUGGACCAAGGUGCAGCGGGAACGUGUAUACUCAUCUUCUUUAUUUAAUUAAAAGAAGGAAAAAGAAACAAAUCAUGUAUACAAAACAACGAAGGACACUAACAGUCCUGUCAGGUGCACAGACACAAAACAGGAGACAACUACCCACAAAUCCCAUAGAAAAAACACCUCUUAAAUAAGACCUUCAAUUAGAAGCAACGAGGAGCAGCUGCUUCCAAUUGAAGGUCAACCCCAUUAACUAAACAUAGAAAUAGAAAGACUAGAACUAACAUAGAAAUAAACUAACAAGAACAUAGCCCAACAAACCUCAAAACACUUUAAACAAACACCCCUCUUACAUAGGAACAUAGCCCAACAAACCCCGAACCACAUAAAACAAACACCCCCUGCUACGUCCUGACCAAACUGCAAUAACAAAUAACCCCUUAUACUGGUCAGAACGUGACACCCUUUGUCUCUCUCUCUCUCUCCCUCUCUCCCCUCUAACGUUAUGUUGUAACAAGCCAUCUUAUCUUGUCAGUCCACUAGGGACUUUUCUCUCAUGUAAGUGUAUAUGUGUAUUCUGUGUUAUUAUUUAGUUAGUUCGUAAAUAAAUAAUUAAAUACAUUUGUGUAGUACUGAAUAAUCAGAAAAGGCUGGGGUUCUUGCGGAUCCAAGAAUGUUAUGACUGUUCAGAAUGAGACUGAUAUGAGGUAAUGAUUAAUAAGUGACUUAUCAAUAUAUAAACUUAUAUAUCUUCUAGAGUUUAAUUCGGGCGAUGGUAACUCAUUAAACAACUUCUUCUGUGGUGCCCCAAAUUCCUAAUGAGUUAUUUGUUACAUGAUUAAUUUAAUCAGGUAACAAUUAAACAUAGUUAGUGGAUUAAAUAAAUAACAGUCAUCAGAUUAAUGAAAGUUAAAGACACCAGUACCAAAAGUCUGUCUCACUGUGUUUGUUGCUAAUAAAAAUAAAUAUUGCCUUUUUUAACCAGUCUUAAUAGGGAUUUAUUGAACUUUAACAAACUACUUUAAUUGCUGUUGAACUUUAACUACGGUUAUUAAUUGAUGACAAAUCAUCCACUCUCAUUAAAGAUAAAACUAUUUUGUGCUUAAACUUGUUUAGGUGCAGUGCUAGCCUCAUAAACUUUACAUUGUCUUGAAUAAUGGCUAAAUGCUGUGGGCAACUGGAGUCAAUCAUAGAAAAUGUACUGAAUGUUCAGAGUUUGUAUUUCUUGAUAAGAUCAACAAAAUCAGUCAGUGAUUUCACACUUUUUUAAAUCCAAACAAACAAAGAUCAUUAUCAAAUCAGACAUAGGGAUGCUCAAAUACAGGUGGAAUUUCAAGCUAAAAAUGAGCAUGACAUUUAAAGUAUAAAACCAGACAAAACUACUAAUUUACAGCAUGAGGACACGACCAGAGUGGUAGAGACAUACAUGAAAGGUACAGUAUCUAGCUGUUGAGUUGAUUAUGUGGAUCAAAAAGUCAAAUCGCCUAUGGCAAGCCAGAUAUAUGAGGGACGGUUGGGAAAAUCCAUGUUAAUCCUGUAUGAUCUGAAGUGCUUUUGCUCCCGCGAUGGCAGACAGACAGACCAGACAGUAGCCAGCCUAGAGAGAGUUUUGGAAGUGUGAAGUGGAGCAUAGUUAUUUUUCAGGGAAAAGGAUGUUUAUGUGGUGUUUCCAUGGGUCGAAAGAGACUGGUGUGUGUGUGUGUUUGUGCAUGUGUGUGUAAGCAUGUGUGUCUGUGUGUGAGGAAUGGCGUGGAGAGGGUCAGCUGGCCAGCCGAUGGGGGCUUUUGCAUAACUGUGCCAUUGGUUAAGGACACGACCUGUCCUGCUGUCUCUCCAGCCCCCCCAAAAUCCUAGCCUCCCCAUUGGUUGAGGACAUGGUCCUGUCCUCCUCUCCCCGUAAACCCCAGCCUCCACCUUCACAUUCUGAGCCUACCUAUUGGUUAAGGACACACUCCCCCCAGCUUCCCCCAUCUCCCCCAGCUCGAUUGGUUAAGGACAGGUCCUGUCUCAGCCUCCCUGGUACUCCUCUGUGCUGUGUCAGCAGUGCUGCAAGGUUGAAUAUCCCAAAAGCACGGAGUACGUUCCAAAUUGCACCCUAUAUAGCACAAUAUAGGGAAUAGGGUGCCAUUUGGGACGCACAGGGAUCUUUCCUGCAGCUUCCUCCCAUUACCACACACAGUGCCCAUCAUAGCCCCUCUCAGUUCAGACUUGAUUAUACAUUUCAGGCAAAAAGGAUAAACAAGACAAAAUUCAAAAGACAAAAAAGGAAUAUAUUAACACACUCACCUACAGCAAUGUCCUGGGCACUGAAUACAGAACUCCACUUAAUAAAGAAAAAUAGGAAUUUCUAACAACGUUUCUGGGAAAAUUUCUGUUAUGAAAAUAAUUUUAUUACCUUGUCAUUGUCUGGUUGAUUUGAUUCAAAAUAUGUUUUUCUAGAUGUCACACAAGUUAACAGGAAACAAACUGCAUAGAAUGUCAAUGGCCAUUUAAUAUUCACGAUAUGUUGGGCCACAAUGAGUAAGAUCAAUAAGUUAUUCAUCAAUUGUAUUCAU